This 969-nucleotide ribosomal RNA is filed under the name Pyratula zonata. RNAcentral's name for it is "eukaryotic LSU rRNA". It matches the Rfam family "Eukaryotic large subunit ribosomal RNA", at positions 75 to 849 of the family's 3401-position model. The record is from RNAcentral. Lineage: Eukaryota; Metazoa; Arthropoda; Insecta; Diptera; Keroplatidae.
UUCCUUUAGUAGCGGCGAGCGAAACAGGAAAAGCCCAUCACUAAGCCCUCCGGUCGUUCUGGCCGGCAGGGGAUGCAGUGUAUGGAAAGUCUAUUAUCUUAUGCGACGGCAAUACGUUCAAGUCCAUCUUGAAUGGGGCCAUUAUACCCAUAGAGGGUGCCAGGCCCGUAGCAGCUAUUGCCAGUAUAAGAAGAUUUUUCCGAAGAGUCGUGUUGCUUGAUAGUGCAGCACUAAGUUGGUGGUAAACUCCAUCUAAGGCUAAAUAUAACCAUGAGACCGAUAGCGAACAAGUACCGUGAGGGAAAGUUGAAAAGUACUCUGAAUAGAGAGUUAAAUAGUACGUGAAACCGCUUAGGGGUUAAGCCCGAUGAACCUGAAUAUCUGAAUUGAGAAAUUCAAUAUUGUGUUUUCAAUUAUAUAUUUAUAUUUAAUUGGAUAACUGGUAUGCACUUUUCUCAUAGUAAGACAUUGCGAUCCAUUAGUAUAUAUGCGUAUGCAUUUAAAUUUAUCAAACGGCCUGUCAUGUAUAGCUUGUUCUAUCUGUGAUAAUUUCUAAUUGUCAUAUGAACAAAUGCAUUGCGGUGACCUGAUAAAUAGCUGAUGGAGCUUAACAAUCAUGCCAACAUACAUGUUUAUGUAUCACGAUUUUUGUGAUUUUUCAUUUAAAUGCAGUGAUAGCAUGUAUUUGAUUAGCAAUGCGAUAGAUUUGGGAUACCUUCGGGACCCGUCUUGAAACACGGACCAAGAAGUCUAACAUGUGUGCAAGUCAUUGGGUAUUUUGUUGAAACCUAAAGGCGCAAUUAAAAUAACUAUAAUGGGAUUACAAGUGAUUUUUUUACCAGGAUUGCUUCUCCAUCCCCGGGGCGUUCUAUACGAACAUGAUUUAAGCAAUUAGAUCCUCUGUUCAGAGCGUACCUUGAGCAUACAUGCUGUGACCGAAAGAUGGUGAACUAUACCUGAUCAGGUUGA